GAGCUACAAUAACUACAAAAUGAAUGCUCAAAAUGAGACCCAAGUGAAUUUCAAAUUCAAAUCUAGAAGCACAAGGAGACCUAGCUCCCUAUAAGCAGUUCAGGAGAGUUAAUUCUCCCCUAUAGAUCAAUACCUCCGUGGACCAUGGUCAUAAAAUGGAGCAGAAGGGCACUUGAAAGCUUGGUGACCCCUCCCACCGCAAUUAUUGCAAAUGACAAUGGCCACACAUUCGUUGCUGAAAUGGCCUGGCUGGCCACAAUUGCGACAAAUAACAUCAUUAAAAGGGCCUCCUACAUCUGAUGCCAAGCUCGAUUUGGGGCAUUGGCGGGCAACAUGACCUGAUAUGUUGCAAAUGUUGCAGACUGGCUCAUUGGGGCAAUCACGAGCAAGAUGACCGGUCUUACGACAAUUGUUGCAAGCCUUCUCAUUGGUGCAGUCAGCAGCAAUGUGACCUGGCUUGUAGCAAUUGUUGCAGGGCCUUGCAUCAUGGGCUGGAAGACUAGGAUUAUAACAAUCACGAGCAAGGUGACCCAUUUUACCACACAUAUGGCAGACUGGAUCAUUUGGGCAUUGGUUUGCAAGAUGUCCAGGACAUCUUGCAAUUCCAACACAUAGUUGUUGAGUUGCAUUCAGCAGCAAUGUGGCCAGGAAGUCCGCAGUUGUUGCAUACGGUCAUAUUUGGACAAUCUCGGGCAAAAUGCCCAGGUCGUUUGCAUUUAUUGCAUAGGUAGUCUUGCCUGUACUUACGAUGAUCCCUGGAAUAAGGUGCAUCACGAUAAGAUGCAUUGGUGCGAAACCUCUUAGCUCGAGGUGGGCUUCCACUUCUAUCCAGACUCAUGUCAAAAACCCUGUAAAUUUAUCAGGGUAAAUGGGAAACAGAACCCCCCCAAACAAACAAGAGAUCCAGAUAAUUCCAGCCUGAAGAUGAAACAGAGUGAGAGAAAAGAAACCUAGAUUAGGAAAUGUGGAUUUGUUUGAAG
RNAcentral lists this unclassified non-coding RNA (980 nucleotides) under Hevea brasiliensis (rubber tree). The record is from RNAcentral. Lineage: Eukaryota; Viridiplantae; Streptophyta; Magnoliopsida; Malpighiales; Euphorbiaceae.